CCCUUAGAUGUUCUGGGCUGCACGCGCGCUACACUGAUGCACUCAACGAGUUUACGACUUUGCCCGAGAGGGUUGAGUAAUCUUUUUAAAAUGCAUCGUGAUGGGGAUAGAUUAUUGCAAUUAUUAAUCUUCAACGAGGAAUUCCUAGUAAGCGCGAGUCAUCAGCUCGUGCUGAUUACGUCCCUGCCCUUUGUACACACCGCCCGUCGCACCUACCGAUUGAAUGGUCCGGUGAAAUCUCGGGACGGCGGCUUGGUCGCUUGCGUCCGACUGCUGAAACUUGAUUAAACCAUAUCAUUUAGAGGAAGGUGAAGUCGUANCA
This 322-nucleotide ribosomal RNA is filed under the name uncultured eukaryote. RNAcentral describes it as "partial 18S ribosomal RNA". It matches the Rfam family "Eukaryotic small subunit ribosomal RNA", at positions 1470 to 1796 of the family's 1831-position model. The record is from RNAcentral.